AUACUGGCCAGAGACCGAUAGCGCACAAGUAGAGUGAUCGAAAGAUGAAAAGCACUUUGGAAAGAGAGUUAAAAAGCACGUGAAAUUGUUGAAAGGGAAGCGCUUGCAGCCAGACUUGCCUGUAGUUGCUCAUCCAGGUUUUUACCUGGUGCACUCUUCUAUAGGCAGGCCAGCAUCAGUUUGGGCGGUUGGAUAAAGGUCUCUGUCAUGUACCUCUCUUCGGGGAGAACUUAUAGGGGAGACGACAUGCAACCAGCCUGGACUGAGGUCCGCGCAUCUGCUAGGAUGCUGGCGUAAUGGCUGUAAGCGGCCCGUCUUGAAACACGGACC
RNAcentral lists this ribosomal RNA (330 nucleotides) under uncultured fungus. RNAcentral's name for it is "LSU rRNA". It matches the Rfam family "Eukaryotic large subunit ribosomal RNA", at positions 320 to 667 of the family's 3401-position model. Lineage: Eukaryota; Fungi. The record is from RNAcentral.